Molecule: ribosomal RNA, 273 nt
Filed under: Triticum aestivum (bread wheat)
Lineage: Eukaryota; Viridiplantae; Streptophyta; Magnoliopsida; Poales; Poaceae
Description: partial small subunit ribosomal RNA
Source: RNAcentral
AUGGCGAGAUCACGAGACACCAGGCUCAGGCUCACGCUCCUCCUCGUCGCCCUUCUUCUGCUAGUUGACAUGGCAAGCGUCUGCCAUGGCCGACGGACACCGGACGUGGAUGCCAUGGCCGCCCUCGACGGCGCUCCACCACCGGCGAAGGGCUACUUCGCCGAGCAGGCGUCUUCGUCGACGGCAAGGCAGCAUACAGCUCGUGUUUAUCGGCGCAUGCACAGGGUGUCCAAGAGGCUGGUGCCCCAGGGGCCGAACCCACUGCACAACUGA